GACGAACGCUGGCGGCGUGCUUAACACAUGCAAGUCGAACGGAAAGACCCUGCGCUUGCUGGUUUCUCGAUUGCCGAACGCGUGAGUAUCACGUGAGUAUCCUCCCCCUGUCUGUGUGAGAUCAUCUGGAGACUCCGGCGAUUACAGCGGAUAAGAUAUUGCUCCGUGUUGGUGGAUGGAGAGUGUCGGCGGUUGUGGAUGGUAUGGCUGCUUAUCAGCUUCUUGGUGGGGUAGGUGCUUUCGAAGGCUUUGACGGGUAGCCGGCCUGAGAGGGUGACCGGCCACAUGGGGACUGAGAGACGGACCAGAAGGCUACGGGAGGCAGCGGUGGGGAAUAUUGCGGAAUGGGCGGAAGCCUGAUGCAGAAACGCCGCGUGCGGAAUGACGGGCUACGAGUUAUAAACCAAUUUCGAAUGUGACGAAGCGUUAGUGACGGUAAUGGGUAAAGAAGCAACGGCUAACUACGUG
This 468-nucleotide ribosomal RNA is filed under the name uncultured bacterium. RNAcentral describes it as "partial 16S ribosomal RNA". It matches the Rfam family "Bacterial small subunit ribosomal RNA", at positions 28 to 507 of the family's 1533-position model. The record is from RNAcentral.